Coprinopsis sp. MPI-PUGE-AT-0042 is the source of this 103-nucleotide non-coding RNA. The record is from the annotation of a GenBank genome assembly. Lineage: Eukaryota; Fungi; Basidiomycota; Agaricomycetes; Agaricales; Psathyrellaceae.
GCCCGCCUAGCUCAAUCGGAUAGAGCGUCAGACUCUUAUGUCUGGGCGGGUUUCUCCGUUUAGUGGAAUCUGAAGGCUGCGAGUUCGACCCUCGCGGUGGGCU